Dreissena polymorpha is the source of this 867-nucleotide long non-coding RNA. RefSeq lists it as uncharacterized. NCBI's taxonomy places the organism in Eukaryota, Metazoa, Mollusca, Bivalvia, Myida, Dreissenidae. The record is from RefSeq and is a predicted model, not a curated record. The transcript is spliced from 8 exons.
ACCGAGGGACCAACUUGUUGACACCGCUCACGUUGAACCUCCAUUUAACGAAUAUACCGUUCUCACGUUCAGAGUUACCUCUGGAUACCACGUGAUGAAAUCGACAGAAGAGCAUGUUCUGUUCGGAUUGAUUGUAUUUGGAAUGACUUCCUCCGCUGCAUAUGGAUUUCCUGCUGGAAUAAACUUCGAUUUUUCAUCAAACGAACAGCGCAUGUGCUACAGCUGUGAUGACAUGUCAGACCUGAAAUUGUGUGACACGGUACAAAAAUGUCUACCUACAAAGAUAUGUAUGGUGCAGCAUGGGAAUUCAAAGUACAGUUCCGGAUGUGCUAGUUUUAUGGAAUGAAAACAACAUCUACAUAAUGCACAAUCAUCACAUGAACAUUGUACAGAAUGCUGCCACAAUGACUAUUGCAAAGGUCGUGGGUGCGGCGAUAACGGUUUACCUCCAAGAAGUGAAAGGGGACCUAUUUGUUUUGACUGCAGCCAUGUUUCCACCGUUGCUCAGUGCAAAACAGUGCGACCAUGUUAUAAAGGCGAGUUGUGCAGUAUUGAAGAGUUCGAUUGGCUGGGACAAUCCCAUUUUAAAUUAGGCUGCGUGACUGCAACGUGUAGUUCUCUUGAACAUGGUCGUUCCGUACCAAGAUGCAAGUCCUGUUGCAGUGAAGACUUCUGUAACACCAACUGCACGAUGGGACAUUCGGCUGCAAUCAUAGAUUAAGAAGCGGAGGAAAGGCUAACGCAGGCAAAUGCUGGUAGACCAGUUUUCGAUUUGUUUAAUGUAUGAAAAUAUUUAUAAUUACUUGGUAAUUAUUUGGUGUGCUUCGUAAAUGAUAUUCCUUGCAAAUAAAACAUUUCUUGAUUCUU